ACGGCAUGAUGGGGUCAUUUUCGGAUGAGGUCCUUUAAUCUCUCCCAUGAGUCAUGGAACUGCUCACCAUGUUGCUGAGAGAAGCUAGUGAGAGCUCACCUU
Molecule: small nucleolar RNA, 102 nt
Filed under: Cephalotus follicularis
Lineage: Eukaryota; Viridiplantae; Streptophyta; Magnoliopsida; Oxalidales; Cephalotaceae
Description: Plant small nucleolar RNA R71
Rfam family: Plant small nucleolar RNA R71
About the family: R71 is a member of the C/D box family of snoRNAs containing the C (UGAUGA) and D (CUGA) box motifs. Multiple nearly identical copies of this snoRNA have been identified in Arabidopsis, and it is thought to function as a 2'-O-ribose methylation guide for 18S ribosomal RNA.
Source: Rfam by way of RNAcentral